RNAcentral lists this transfer RNA (87 nucleotides) under hydrothermal vent metagenome. RNAcentral describes it as "tRNA-Leu-CAA". It matches the Rfam family "tRNA". From Rfam's summary of the family: Transfer RNA (tRNA) molecules are approximately 80 nucleotides in length. Their secondary structure includes four short double-helical elements and three loops (D, anti-codon, and T loops). The record is from RNAcentral.
GGCUCGGUGGCGGAACUGGUAGACGCGCCGGAUUCAAAAUCCGGUUGGGGUGACUCAGUGGGGGUUCGAUUCCCCCCCGAGCUACAA